AUGAACGCUGGCGGCGUGCCUAAUCCAUGCAAGUCGAGCGAACGGACGAGAAGCUUGCUUCUCUGAUGUUAGCGGCGGACGGGUGAGUAACACGUGGAUAACCUACCUAUAAGACUGGGAUAACUUCGGGAAACCGGAGCUAAUACCGGAUAAUAUUUUGAACCGCAUGGUUCAAAAGUGAAAGACGGUCUUGCUGUCACUUAUAGAUGGAUCCGCGCUGCAUUAGCUAGUUGGUAAGGUAACGGCUUACCAAGGCAACGAUGCAUAGCCGACCUGAGAGGGUGAUCGGCCACACUGGAACUGAGACACGGUCCAGACUCCUACGGGAGGCAGCAGUAGGGAAUCGUCCGCAAUGGGCGAAAGCCUGACGGAGCAACGCCGCGUGAGUGAUGAAGGUCUUCGGAUCGUAAAACUCUGUUAUUAGGGAAGAACAUAUGUGUAAGUAACUGUGCACAUCUUGACGGUACCUAAUCAGAAAGCCACGGCUAACUACGUG
This 496-nucleotide ribosomal RNA is filed under the name uncultured bacterium. RNAcentral describes it as "partial 16S ribosomal RNA". It matches the Rfam family "Bacterial small subunit ribosomal RNA", at positions 29 to 507 of the family's 1533-position model. The record is from RNAcentral.